AUAAUGGGUCAGCGACUUAUAUUCUGUAGCAAGGUUAACCGAAUAGGGGAGCCGAAGGGAAACCGAGUCUUAACUGGGCGUUAAGUUGCAGGGUAUAGACCCGAAACCCGGUGAUCUAGCCAUGGGCAGGUUGAAGGUUGGGUAACACUAACUGGAGGACCGAACCGACUAAUGUUGAAAAAUUAGCGGAUGACUUGUGGCUGGGGGUGAAAGGCCAAUCAAACCGGGAGAUAGCUGGUUCUCCCCGAAAGCUAUUUAGGUAGCGCCUCGUGAAUUCAUCUCCGGGGGUAGAGCACUGUUUCGGCAAGGGGGUCAUCCCGACUUACCAACCCGAUGCAAACUGCGAAUACCGGAGAAUGUUAUCACGGGAGACACACGGCGGGUGCUAACGUCCGUCGUGAAGAGGGAAACAACCCAGACCGCCAGCUAAGGUCCCAAAGUCAUGGUUAAGUGGGAAACGAUGUGGGAAGGCCCAGACAGCCAGGAUGUUGGCUUAGAAGCAGCCAUCAUUUAAAGAAAGCGUAAUAGCUCACUGGUCGAGUCGGCCUGCGCGGAAGAUGUAACGGGGCUAAACCAUGCACCGAAGCUGCGGCAGCGACGCUGAUGCGUUGUUGGGUAGGGGAGCGUUCUGUAAGCCUGCGAAGGUGUGCUGUGAGGCAUGCUGGAGGUAUCAGAAGUGCGAAUGCUGACAUAAGUAACGAUAAAGCGGGUGAAAAGCCCGCUCGCCGGAAGACCAAGGGUUCCUGUCCAACGUUAAUCGGGGCAGGGUGAGUCGACCCCUAAGGCGAGGCCGAAAGGCGUAGUCGAUGGGAAACAGGUUAAUAUUCCUGUACUUGGUGUUACUGCGAAGGGGGGACGGAGAAGGCUAUGUUGGCCGGGCGACGGUUGUCCCGGUUUAAGCGUGUAGGCUGGUUUUCCAGGCAAAUCCGGAAAAUCAAGGCUGAGGCGUGAUGACGAGGCACUACGGUGCUGAAGCAACAAAUGCCCUGCUUCCAGGAAAAGCCUCUAAGCAUCAGGUAACAUCAAAUCGUACCCCAAACCGACACAGGUGGUCAGGUAGAGAAUACCAAGGCGCUUGAGAGAACUCGGGUGAAGGAACUAGGCAAAAUGGUGCCGUAACUUCGGGAGAAGGCACGCUGAUAUGUAGGUGAAGUCCCUCGCGGAUGGAGCUGAAAUCAGUCGAAGAUACCAGCUGGCUGCAACUGUUUAUUAAAAACACAGCACUGUGCAAACACGAAAGUGGACGUAUACGGUGUGACGCCUGCCCGGUGCCGGAAGGUUAAUUGAUGGGGUUAGCGCAAGCGAAGCUCUUGAUCGAAGCCCCGGUAAACGGCGGCCGUAACUAUAACGGUCCUAAGGUAGCGAAAUUCCUUGUCGGGUAAGUUCCGACCUGCACGAAUGGCGUAAUGAUGGCCAGGCUGUCUCCACCCGAGACUCAGUGAAAUUGAACUCGCUGUGAAGAUGCAGUGUACCCGCGGCAAGACGGAAAGACCCCGUGAACCUUUACUAUAGCUUGACACUGAACAUUGAGCCUUGAUG
This 1539-nucleotide ribosomal RNA is filed under the name Escherichia coli. Its description in RNAcentral is "partial 23S ribosomal RNA". It matches the Rfam family "Bacterial large subunit ribosomal RNA", at positions 612 to 2136 of the family's 2925-position model. Lineage: Bacteria; Pseudomonadati; Pseudomonadota; Gammaproteobacteria; Enterobacterales; Enterobacteriaceae. The record is from RNAcentral.